AAUGGGCGGAAGUCUGAACCAGCCAUCCCGCGUGUGUGAUGAAGGCCUCUGGGUUGUAAAGCACUUUUGUAUGGGAAGAAGACAGGGAUUUAUCCUGGAGAGACGGUACCAUAAGAAUAAGCACCGGCUAACUCCGUGCCAGCAGCCGCGGUAAUACGGAGGGUGCAAGCGUUAUCCGGAAUCACUGGGUUUAAAGGGUACGUAGGCGGGGCCUUAAGUCAGAAGUGAAAGCUCAUCGCUUAACGAUGAAAUGCUUUUGAAACUGAGGUUCUUGAGUCUGGUAGAGGUAUGCGGAAUGCGUCAUGUAGCGGUGAAAUGCAUAGAUAUGACGUAGAACACCAAUAGCGAAGGCAGCAUACUAGGCCAGUACUGACGCUGAGGUACGAAAGCGUGGGUAGCGAACAGGAUU
This 409-nucleotide ribosomal RNA is filed under the name uncultured Gammaproteobacteria bacterium. RNAcentral describes it as "bacterial SSU rRNA". It matches the Rfam family "Bacterial small subunit ribosomal RNA", at positions 370 to 779 of the family's 1533-position model. The record is from RNAcentral. Lineage: Bacteria; Pseudomonadati; Pseudomonadota; Gammaproteobacteria.